This 204-nucleotide ribosomal RNA is filed under the name Triticum aestivum (bread wheat). RNAcentral describes it as "partial small subunit ribosomal RNA". The record is from RNAcentral. Lineage: Eukaryota; Viridiplantae; Streptophyta; Magnoliopsida; Poales; Poaceae.
AUGCUUAUGCUUUCUGUAUGGAGCUGGGAGCGUCUACCUGUUGGACGCCCGAAGAGCGUCAAGUUUAAUCCUUGGGAUGAAGAUGGCGAAUUACGGCGCCCCACUUAGGCUUACAAGUGGGAUGUGGUAUCCGAGAUGACGAACGAUGUCAGUCUCAUGUACCAAAAGUACAUUGCCAAGUUGGACACGAUUACGCCUGAGUAG